UGGGGGAUCGUCUAAUGGUAGGACUACGGACUCUGACUCCGUCAGUAGAGGUUCGAAUCCUCUUCCCCCAGCCA
Molecule: transfer RNA, 74 nt
Filed under: Photobacterium salinisoli
Lineage: Bacteria; Pseudomonadati; Pseudomonadota; Gammaproteobacteria; Vibrionales; Vibrionaceae
Also listed under: 7 other names
Description: tRNA-Gln
Rfam family: tRNA
About the family: Transfer RNA (tRNA) molecules are approximately 80 nucleotides in length.
Source: RNAcentral